AUUGAACGCUGGCGGCAGGCCUAACACAUGCAAGUCGAGCGGAUGAAGGGAGCUUGCUCCUGGAUUCAGCGGCGGACGGGUGAGUAAUGCCUAGGAAUCUGCCUGGUAGUGGGGGAUAACGUCCGGAAACGGGCGCUAAUACCGCAUACGUCCUGAGGGAGAAAGUGGGGGAUCUUCGGACCUCACGCUAUCAGAUGAGCCUAGGUCGGAUUAGCUAGUUGGUGGGGUAAAGGCCUACCAAGGCGACGAUCCGUAACUGGUCUGAGAGGAUGAUCAGUCACACUGGAACUGAGACACGGUCCACACUCCUACGGGAGGCAGCAGUGGGGAAUAUUGGACAAUGGGCGAAAGCCUGAUCCAGCCAUGCCGCGUGUGUGAAGAAGGUCUUCGGAUUGUAAAGCACUUUAAGUUGGGAGGAAGGGCAGUAAGUUAAUACCUUGCUGUUUUGACGUUACCAACAGAAUAAGCACCGGCUAACUUCGUG
Molecule: ribosomal RNA, 484 nt
Filed under: uncultured bacterium
Lineage: Bacteria
Description: partial 16S ribosomal RNA
Rfam family: Bacterial small subunit ribosomal RNA
Source: RNAcentral